Molecule: long non-coding RNA, 122 nt
Filed under: Dasypus novemcinctus (nine-banded armadillo)
Lineage: Eukaryota; Metazoa; Chordata; Mammalia; Cingulata; Dasypodidae
Description: Pvt1 onco conserved region 5 (ENSDNOG00000040596.1)
Rfam family: Pvt1 oncogene conserved region 5
Source: RNAcentral
CAUCCUCAUACCUGGGAUUUAAGCUCAUUGGAUCUGAGCAACGGCUGUAUCCAUUCAGCACUCCAGAGGGUCUUGAGAACCGCCCUUCCCUGGACUGAAUUUGGAGACUCAAGGUAAGGGAG